This 463-nucleotide ribosomal RNA is filed under the name uncultured bacterium. RNAcentral describes it as "bacterial LSU rRNA". It matches the Rfam family "Bacterial large subunit ribosomal RNA", at positions 1366 to 1807 of the family's 2925-position model. The record is from RNAcentral.
UCGUCAUCGUAGGGUUAGUCGGGUCCUAAGUCGAGUCCGAGAGGGGUAGACGAUGGCAAAUUGGUUAAUAUUCCAAUACCAACAAUUAAGCGCGAUGUGGGGACGCAUAGAGUUAAUCGAGCUCACUGAUGGAAUAGUGGGUCGAAGGAAGUAGGAUGUUAUUUAGGAAAAUCCGGAUAACAAUAGUCCGAGAUCUGAUAGGCUAAUGACACUUUUCGAAGGAUAAUUAGAAUCGAUGAUACUGUCGUGCCAAGAAAAGCCACUAAGUAUAUUAAUUGUUGCCCGUACCGUAAACCGAUACAGGUGGGUGGGAUGAGUAUUCUAAGGCGCGUGGAAGAACCCUGGUUAAGGAACUCUGCAAACUAGCACCGUAUCUUCGGUAGAAGGUGUGCCUACUUUGGUAUAGGGAUUUACUCCCAAAAGCUAAAGAGGUUGCAACAAAGAGUCCCUCCCGACUGUUUAC